CCUACGGGAGGCAGCAGUGGGGAAUAUUGGGCAAUGGGCGCAAGCCUGACCCAGCAACGCCGCGUGAGGGAAGAAGGCUUUCGGAUUGUAAACUUCUGUUCUCAGGGACGAAGGGAGUGUCGGUACCUCAGGAGUAAACCGCGGCUAACUACGUGCGAGCAGCCGCCGUAAUACGUAGGUGGCAAGCGUUAUCCGGGUUUGUUGGGUGUAAAGGGCGGGUAGGCGGGAAAGCAAGUCAGAUGUGAAAACUCAGGGCUCAACCUUGAGACUGCCUUUGAAACUGGUUAUCUUGAGUGCUGGAGAGGAAAGCGGAAUUCCGGGUGUAGCGGUGAAAUGCGUAGAUAUAUGGAGGAACACCAGUGGCGAAGGCGGAUAGCUGGCCAGUAACUGACGCUGAGGCGCGAAAGCGUGGGGAGCAAACAGGAUUAGAUACCCCGGUAGUC
This 443-nucleotide ribosomal RNA is filed under the name uncultured bacterium. RNAcentral describes it as "partial 16S ribosomal RNA". It matches the Rfam family "Bacterial small subunit ribosomal RNA", at positions 338 to 795 of the family's 1533-position model. The record is from RNAcentral.